UCAAACUUGAGAGUUUGAUCCUGGCUCAGAACGAACGCUGGCGGCAUGCCUAACACAUGCAAGUCGAACGAACUCUUCGGAGUUAGUGGCGCACGGGUGCGUAACGCGUGGGAAUCUGCCCUUGGGUACGGAAUAACUCAGAGAAAUUUGUGCUAAUACCGUAUAAUGACUUCGGUCCAAAGAUUUAUCGCCCAAGGAUGAGCCCGCGUAAGAUUAGCUAGUUGGUGGGGUAAAAGCCUACCAAGGCGACGAUCUUUAGCUGGUCUGAGAGGAUGAUCAGCCACACUGGGACUGAGACACGGCCCAGACUCCUACGGGAGGCAGCAGUGGGGAAUAUUGGACAAUGGG
RNAcentral lists this ribosomal RNA (348 nucleotides) under Sphingopyxis sp. RIFCSPHIGHO2_12_FULL_65_19. RNAcentral's name for it is "bacterial SSU rRNA". It matches the Rfam family "Bacterial small subunit ribosomal RNA", at positions 1 to 375 of the family's 1533-position model. The record is from RNAcentral. Lineage: Bacteria; Pseudomonadati; Pseudomonadota; Alphaproteobacteria; Sphingomonadales; Sphingopyxidaceae.